Long non-coding RNA from Oxyura jamaicensis (ruddy duck), 733 nucleotides. RefSeq lists it as uncharacterized. NCBI's taxonomy places the organism in Eukaryota, Metazoa, Chordata, Aves, Anseriformes, Anatidae. The transcript has 5 exons. The record is from RefSeq and is a predicted model, not a curated record.
CUAAAUUUGGAAGAGGACUAGAGCACAGCAUUUUAAAAAAUGUGAAUGGUUGUACUUCAUGAACAUGGAGACUCUGGAGAAAGAAGUAUUUUCCCCCUCUGCUUCCUCCACCUGAGUCAUUGAACAUCAGAUCCUUCUUUUGUAGCAUUUCAGUUUUCAAUUGGUGCUAUGUUGGCUGACUGUGAAAGUCAAAAGGAUGGCUGUUUAUCCCUCCUGCCGUCACGUUCCAUGUUUCUAGCUUGUGGGCUUUUGCAAAGCAAGGUUAUCAGCAAUCUGCUGCAGAGUCCUUCCCACUCAGUAAAUCAAAGCCUUGCUCUUCUCCGGUUUGUUUCCAUGGACAAAUGAUUCAAUCCUCCUUCACUUCCCAGCACGAAAGCCUGUCAUCCCCAAACCGCCGCCAGCCCAGCUGACCCACUGAGCCCUGCACUGGUGCAACCAUCCUGAUCGUUCCAGAUCCAGCCUGUCCCUCACAGGCAUCCUGUCCUCUCCUCAUAGAGACCCUGCAGCCCAUAUCUGCCAGCAAAACCCCGUGUAUGAGAAGUGGAGAAGGAGGGGCUCAUUUUACAAUGACAUUAAGAAUUCAUUCCCUUAAAUGAGACUCUGAUCAUCAGCAUCAUUUGUGCUUUCAGGAUGCUUGUACUGCAAGUCAUUUUUUAAAAUCCUGAACAAGGAAAUCUUUGCCAUGCAAUAAAGUUCCAUACAAAUACAGCUAAUGUCAAUAAAGCUAAAAAGA